This 76-nucleotide transfer RNA is filed under the name Candidatus Nealsoniibacteriota bacterium. RNAcentral describes it as "Candidatus Nealsonbacteria bacterium tRNA-Lys". It matches the Rfam family "tRNA". From Rfam's summary of the family: Transfer RNA (tRNA) molecules are approximately 80 nucleotides in length. Their secondary structure includes four short double-helical elements and three loops (D, anti-codon, and T loops). The record is from RNAcentral. Lineage: Bacteria; Candidatus Nealsoniibacteriota.
GCCCCUGUAGCUCAGUUGGUAGAGCAAUUGCCUUUUAAGCAAGUGGUCCCAGGUUCAAAUCCUGGCAGGGGCACCA